UAAGAGAACGAAGAGAUGGACCUUUCGACAACGGAACGGGAACCGCGACUAGCGAUGCCAAACGGAACACCUAUCGACCUCGACUCUCCACCGAUGACUGAAGUUGACAACUGUUGCUGCCGGAAUUUCCACUUCGAACCCAAAAUCGUUACCAAUCAAAGACUGAAUAAUGACAAACCAAGCUCUAAAAAAGGUGACGUGAGUUCUUUAGCUACUUAAGAGUCGUUGUUGCUAGUUUUCGAUGAUUUGGCGGCCAUUGGUGCUAUUUUCGGUGAGUCCGGUGGUGGAGGAACAACAGCCGAUCUACUGUGAAGGUGAAGGAGAAGAAGCAGGGGUGUGCUGGUGUGAGACGAAGGAGCAGAAGGUGGUCGGUGACAGCUGAAGGUGGCAUGGAUGCUGGUCGGCUAUGGUGUUUUAGAGAUCAGAGGUUGGGAAGCCAGGGGAGACUCUUGUCUUCAUGAAGAAGAAGCUAGCGCCAUUGGAGAAGAUGACUGGAGAAGCAGCGAUUUGGGUGGCUCUGUUGAUGUCUUCAAUUAUGGUUCUAGGUUUUUUUUGUUCUUUUUAAUGAAGAAGAUGGCAGCCCUCUCUUUCUAGGUCU
This 598-nucleotide long non-coding RNA is filed under the name Nicotiana tabacum (common tobacco). Its description in RNAcentral is "long non-coding RNA (NTAB_LNC000796)". Lineage: Eukaryota; Viridiplantae; Streptophyta; Magnoliopsida; Solanales; Solanaceae. The record is from RNAcentral.